CAGUCGCCGCGGGAAUACAGAGGGUGCGAGCGUUAAUCGGAUUUACUGGGCGUAAAGCGUGCGUAGGCGGCUUUUUAAGUCGGAUGUGAAAUCCCUGAGCUUAACUUAGGAAUUGCAUUCGAUACUGGGAAGCUAGAGUAUGGGAGAGGAUGGUAGAAUUCCAGGUGUAGCGGUGAAAUGCGUAGAGAUCUGGAGGAAUACCUAUGGCGAAGGCAGCCAUCUGGCCUAAUACUGACGCUGAGGUACGAAAGCAUGGGGAGCAAACAGGAUUAGAUACCCCUGUAGUCCCUGUCUCUUAUAC
This 301-nucleotide ribosomal RNA is filed under the name uncultured bacterium. Its description in RNAcentral is "partial 16S ribosomal RNA". It matches the Rfam family "Bacterial small subunit ribosomal RNA", at positions 509 to 807 of the family's 1533-position model. The record is from RNAcentral.